UGCUUUGCUCAGUGUCAGUAUCGUAACCAAUGAGGUUAAUCGGAGGCGCGAUUGUUGCUAAUUGAAAGCCUUUUUUUUGUUCUGGGCCCCCCAGUUUAGGAGGGACAUUGAGAUGCUUGAGCGUGUCCAGAGAAG
Small nuclear RNA from Pogoniulus pusillus (Red-fronted tinkerbird), 135 nucleotides. RefSeq annotates it as U4 spliceosomal RNA. The transcript has a single exon. The record is from RefSeq and is a predicted model, not a curated record. Lineage: Eukaryota; Metazoa; Chordata; Aves; Piciformes; Lybiidae.